RNAcentral lists this ribosomal RNA (253 nucleotides) under uncultured bacterium. RNAcentral describes it as "partial 16S ribosomal RNA". It matches the Rfam family "Bacterial small subunit ribosomal RNA", at positions 524 to 776 of the family's 1533-position model. The record is from RNAcentral.
GACAGAGGGUGCAAACGUUGUUCGGAAUCACUGGGCAUAAAGCGCACGUAGGCGGUCCGUUAAGUCAGAUGUGAAAGCCCCCGGCUCAACCGGGGAACUGCAUCGGAUACUGGUGGACUCGAGAGUUGUAGGGGUGGACGGAACUCCAGGUGGAGCGGUGAAAUGCGUAGAUAUCUGGAGGAACACCGGAGGCGAAAGCGGUCCACUGGGCAACUUCUGACGCUGAGGUGCGAAAGCUAGGGUAGCAAACGGG